UACGGGGGGAGCAAGCGUUGUUCGGAUUUACUGGGCGUAAAGCGCACGUAGGCGGACAUUUAAGUCAGGGGUGAAAUCCCAGAGCUCAACUCUGGAACUGCCUUUGAUACUGGGUGUCUUGAGUAUGGAAGAGGUGAGUGGAAUUCCGAGUGUAGAGGUGAAAUUCGUAGAUAUUCGGAGGAACACCAGUGGCGAAGGCGGCUCACUGGUCCAUUACUGACGCUGAGGUGCGAAAGCGUGGGGAGCAAACAGG
RNAcentral lists this ribosomal RNA (253 nucleotides) under uncultured bacterium. RNAcentral describes it as "partial 16S ribosomal RNA". It matches the Rfam family "Bacterial small subunit ribosomal RNA", at positions 524 to 776 of the family's 1533-position model. The record is from RNAcentral.